RNAcentral lists this long non-coding RNA (1282 nucleotides) under Marmota monax (woodchuck). Lineage: Eukaryota; Metazoa; Chordata; Mammalia; Rodentia; Sciuridae. The record is from RNAcentral.
CGCCUGAUGGUGUUCCGUUGUAUAUCAAGAAUGCCACCUGCGGUCUGCUCUCUGAGAACUGAACAGAGCCCUUUCUUUCUGCCAACUGAAAUUUCCUCAAGUCCAAGGAUGCAGAAUGGCCACCCCAGGCCCAUGGGUCCAGAGAGAAGGCGGGUGUGCCUGAGUCCCGGGAAACAUGGAGGCAGGGGCUGCAGAAGCAGGUGGGGCCUGGUGGAUAGGAGGGAGGCUGGGGGUCGCCAGGCAGGAGAGUUGAGAGUCCCAGGCCCUCUUGGACCACAUGGCAAGGCCCUGUCUCAAAAACACAAAAGACAAGAAGCAUGUGAUCCUCAUUCAAGGAGCCACAAGGGACACUGCCACACCUGCUGGGAACAAAGGUUCUAGAACCGAACAGGGCAGGCCAAUGGGUCAGAGGGAGCAGGGUGGUGCCAGCUGCUCCUGCACCUUGCUCUAGAGGCCAGAAAAGCCCGAAUCACCUCUCGCCCCAGCCCUGACCCAAGCCAGGAACCCACGCUUGGGGAAAACAUGGCCUUCCGUCCACUUUCAGGGGAGAGGAGGGAGGGUCUGAUACAAGCCUCUGACACGGCAGCAGUAGAGGAUCAUGCACGGGGGGCGGGGCAGAGACCCCAUCUAGCAGCCCUCCUCCCCCCAUCAUGGGUGUCACCAGGGCAAGCUGACUCACUGCUGCCACUGAAAGCCACCUCGGGAGGGCGCAGGAGUGGAGAGAGGGCCCUCUGCCAGCAGGUUGUCCCGGCCAUCCUCUGUCCCUGGUGCACACGGCUCCCUUCUGGGUUGUCCCUGGUGGCAACUUGAACCCAAGCACACAGAGCUCAGUGGGCUUCCACCAGGGGCGCGCUGGCCCCGGACUUGGCCAUCUCUCUGCUGAAGAUACCCCAGCACUCAGUGCCCCUUGCCCUCCGCCUUCUCCCCACCCUCACCCUCCUCUCCCUGUCCCCCCCCCCAGGCCUCUCCUGGUGAAGGCUCAAGCUCAGGUUCAAAGGUGCCUCCUUCCACCAGAUGGAAACCCCGUGCCUCCCCUUCCCACCCCAGGAGGACAGUCCUGGCCCUUCCAGCGCACUGCAGGGUUCCUCCUUCCCUGAGUUUCCCUGGUGGAGCAGAACCUGGCUAUAGGACCCACCUCAGCCCGGCAUCCCUCUCCAGGGCCGGCUUCCCCUGGCACAGUGGCCCCCUUGCUUCUUCAUAUCAGAAAUCCUGGUCAUCUUUCUCCCUUCUUUUUUAUAUACCCCCAUAUUUUAUAUAUAAAUAUAUAUAAUUAUUAUUUCUG